AGUAUCAUGUCACCCACAAAAAAAGGAUGCUUUCCAUAUAUUAGACCAGUGCUCUGCAACCUUUUAUCUUCUAAGGCGUACCAACGUUUUUCCGAUAAGUCCGUGGCACACAACAAGUAAAAGCUUACAAAUUCAUAAAUUACAAUAAUACAUAUGUUUUUAUUAGGUAAACAAAAACAAUAAAAUAGCUGUAUAUAUGUAGAUAUUUAUUUUUAUUUAAGUUUUAUACAAAGCAAUUUGAAUUGUAUGUCGACACAAGAACAAAAAUAUGUAGUUAUAGAUUAUACAUCACAUGUAAAAAAAAUUUUCAAUAAAGGCUGUUUAAAGUUUAGGAUGUUUAAUGUCGAAUUUAAAAUAAUGUUGAGUGUUUGCAAUAUCGAGUUUUCAAUUUCCACAAUUAUCGGUCUACUUUUUUUUGCAAUUUGCUUUGACGAGUUCUUAAAACAGUUUUUUCUAAUUAACUUAUCAAUUGAUUAAUUAUUUUUUUCGUUUUUAAUUUGCCGUGUAAAACAGAGAAAGCUCCAAAAAUUUAAUUAUUCAAAUUAUUCUCGAGAAAAUCAUCACGGCACAGCCAAGUUCAUUUCGCGGCACACCGGUGUACCACGACACAGCGGUUACGGAGCACCGUAUUAGACCAUUGGAUACAGGUUCAAUCCACUGAAUUGCAUUGACCAAUUACAAUUUACUAAUACAAUAAAAAUAUUAUAUUUGAUUUCCACAUAUAAUAUUAGUGAAACCAGAGAAAUAAAACAUUAUUAUUUUGAUUUGUCUUUGUCAACUAUUUGCUGGUAGGGCUUGUUGUAAUAAUAAAUAUGCCAUUAUAAAAAUAAUGAUUAUUGAAAUAAUAAAAACUAUAUUCAUGAAAAACAAGCGCGUAGAAAAAACAUGCACACACCAUACGGAUCUUAUAAAGUCCUGUUUCUUUGGAAACAAGGAUGAAAAUAAGUAAAAUAAUAUUGAAAAAUUCGGAUAUUUUCUUUGAUUUAGAAGAAAUUACUUGACUGACAAUUUAAAAAAUAGAAUGGUAUCAUGAAUGCAAAAGCUGCUUCUAAAAUAGAACAAAUAUUCUAAUUUAUUAAUAU
Molecule: long non-coding RNA, 1082 nt
Filed under: Androctonus crassicauda
Lineage: Eukaryota; Metazoa; Arthropoda; Arachnida; Scorpiones; Buthidae
Source: RNAcentral